Molecule: ribosomal RNA, 602 nt
Filed under: Cicindela (Rivacindela) sp. JP-59a
Lineage: Eukaryota; Metazoa; Arthropoda; Insecta; Coleoptera; Carabidae
Description: partial 16S ribosomal RNA
Rfam family: Bacterial large subunit ribosomal RNA
Source: RNAcentral
UUUAAGGUCUAACCUGCCCAAUGAGGAUUUAAAUGGCCGCAGUAUUUUGACUGUGCAAAGGUAGCAUAAUUAUUAGUUUUUUAAUUGAAAGCUUGUAUGAAGGGUUGGACGAGAUAAAAUCUGUCUUUAUUUAAAUUAAAGUAUAAUUUAACUUUUAAGUCAAAAGGCUUAAAUGUUUAUAAAAGACGAGAAGACCCUAUAGAUCUUUAUUUAGUUAAGAUUUUAAUAAUUUAGGAUUAUUUUAAUUUGGAGUCUUAAUUGAAUUUUAUUGGGGUAAUAUAAAGAUUAAAUGAAUUCUUUUUAUUUAUGACAUUAAUUUAUGAAUAUAUGAUCCAUUAAUAUUGAUUAUAAGAUUAAGUUACCUUAGGGAUAACAGCGUAAUUUUUUUGGAGAGCUCAUAUCGAUAAGAAAGUUUGCGACCUCGAUGUUGGAUUAAAAAUUAGCUUGGGUGCAGAAGCUCAAGAUUUUGGUCUGUUCGACCAUUAAAUUUUUACAUGAUCUGAGUUCAGACCGGCGUAAGCCAGGUCGGUUUCUAUCUUUAUUUAGAUAAAAUAUUUUAGUACGAAAGGACCAAGUAUUUAAUAUAAUUAUAUUUAUUUUUU